This 293-nucleotide ribosomal RNA is filed under the name uncultured bacterium. RNAcentral describes it as "partial 16S ribosomal RNA". It matches the Rfam family "Archaeal small subunit ribosomal RNA", at positions 455 to 747 of the family's 1478-position model. The record is from RNAcentral.
GUGCCAGCAGCCGCGGUAAUACCGGCAGCCCGAGUGAUGGCCGAUCUUAUUGGGCCUAAAGCGUCCGUAGCUAGCUGCGCAAGUCCGUCGGGAAAUCCACGUGCUUAACACGUGGGCGACCGGCGGAAACUGUGUGGCUUGGAACCGGAAGGCUCAGAGGGUACGUCCGGGGUAGGAGUGAAAUCCCGUAAUCCCGGACGGACCACCGAUGGCGAAAGCACUCUGAGAAGACGGCUUCGACAGUGAGGGACGAAAGCUAGGGUCUCAAACCGGAUUAGAUACCCCGGUAGUCC